Molecule: long non-coding RNA, 273 nt
Organism: Megalobrama amblycephala (Wuchang bream)
Lineage: Eukaryota; Metazoa; Chordata; Actinopteri; Cypriniformes; Xenocyprididae
Exons: 2
Source: RefSeq, a predicted model, not a curated record
AAUAAAAAGUUAUGGAUUUUAUGUCUUCUUUACAAUGACUAUUAAUUUACUGAAUCAGGUUUUCUGUUUGUUCCAGAUUGGGUUUGAUUGUUUUUAUGGUUAAGUUUGGCGCUGGGAAAGGACGGACUGUCACUAACUGGGGGGCAAAACAGAGACAUGGAAGACUGGAGUCAGACAGGACAAGCGUGGGGAGCAGAACUGCCACAUGAAGAACUUAUUCAGUACAGUCUGCUGCACUGCCAACCAUCUCACCAGACCUACUAAACACAAAAA